ACUGCGGGAAACUGUAGCUAAUACCGGAUGUGUCUGCAAAGAGAAAGAUUUAUCGCCUUCAGAUGAGCCCGCACUAGAUUAGCUAGUUGGUGAGGUAAUUGCUCCACCAAGGCUACGAUCUAUAGCUGAUUUGAGAGGAUGAUCAGCCACACUGGGACUGAGACACGGCCCAGACUCCUACGGGAGGCAGCAGUAGGGAAUAUUGGACAAUGGGGGAAACCCUGAUCCAGCAAUGCCGCGUGAGUGAAGAAGGCCCUC
RNAcentral lists this ribosomal RNA (258 nucleotides) under uncultured bacterium. RNAcentral's name for it is "partial 16S ribosomal RNA". It matches the Rfam family "Bacterial small subunit ribosomal RNA", at positions 146 to 419 of the family's 1533-position model. The record is from RNAcentral.